AGAGCGAACGCUGGCGGCAGGCCUAACACAUGCAAGUCGAACGGAUCCUUCGGGAUUAGUGGCGGACGGGUGAGUAACACGUGGGAACGUGCCUUUUGGUUCGGAACAACUCAGGGAAACUUGAGCUAAUACCGGAUGUGCCCUUCGGGGGAAAGAUUUAUCGCCAUUAGAGCGGCCCGCGUCUGAUUAGCUAGUUGGUGGGGUAAAGGCCUACCAAGGCAACGAUCAGUAGCUGGUCUGAGAGGAUGAUCAGCCACAUUGGGACUGAGACACGGCCCAAACUCCUACGGGAGGCAGCAGUGGGGAAUCUUGCGCAAUGGGCGAAAGCCUGACGCAGCCAUGCCGCGUGAAUGAUGAAGGUCUUAGGGAUUGUAAAAUUCUUUCACCGGGGACAUAAUGACGGUACCCGGAGAAGAAGCCCCGGCUAACUUCGUGCCAGCAGCCGC
RNAcentral lists this ribosomal RNA (446 nucleotides) under uncultured bacterium. RNAcentral describes it as "SSU rRNA". It matches the Rfam family "Bacterial small subunit ribosomal RNA", at positions 26 to 518 of the family's 1533-position model. The record is from RNAcentral.